UAUCUGUAGACCUCCAAUUUG
RNAcentral lists this non-coding RNA (21 nucleotides) under Caenorhabditis elegans. The record is from RNAcentral. Lineage: Eukaryota; Metazoa; Nematoda; Chromadorea; Rhabditida; Rhabditidae.